RNAcentral lists this non-coding RNA (29 nucleotides) under Rattus norvegicus (Norway rat). The record is from RNAcentral. Lineage: Eukaryota; Metazoa; Chordata; Mammalia; Rodentia; Muridae.
UACACACUAGAGUGUGGACGUAAACACGC